GAUGAAGAACGCAGCGAAAUGCGAUACGUAAUGUGAAUCGCAGAAUUCAGUGAAUCAUCGAAUCUUUGAACGCAUAUUGCGCUCUUUGGUAUUCCGAAGAGCAUGCUUGUUUGAGUAUCAGUAAACACCUCAAAGACUUCAAUUUGUUUUGAAUGGCUUUGGACUUGAGCAAUCCCAACACCAGUCUUUACGAUCGGUGGAGGGUUGCUUGAAAUGCAGGUGCAGCUGGACAUUCUCCUGAGCUAAAAGCAUAUUUAUUUAGUCCCGUCAAACGGAUUAUUACUUUGGCUGCAGCUAACAUAAAGGGAGUUUGACCGUAUUGGCUGACUGAUGCAGGAUUUCACAAGGGUCGGCAACGAUUCUUGUAAAACUCGAUCUCAAAUCAAGUAAGACUACCCGCUGAACUUAAGCAUAUCAAUAAGCGGAGGA
Molecule: unclassified non-coding RNA, 429 nt
Filed under: soil metagenome
Description: partial contains 5.8S ribosomal RNA, internal transcribed spacer 2, and large subunit ribosomal RNA
Rfam family: 5.8S ribosomal RNA (bases 1-120)
Source: RNAcentral